GAAGUUCGUCUGCAUUCUCCACCCUGCCGGUCUGCCACUCUGAUGCUGUUCUGAAGAGAGCGUGAUUGAAACAGAUUGUGGCUGAGUGACCGGCCUUUACAAUUUACGUUAACCAGUCGUGGGGAGAGGAGUAGUUUUACAAAGUAGAGUGAAAUUGAAUUAAUUGCCUAAAAAGUUCAUUGACGUUUGAAGGUGUGCCAACAUUGGGGCUCACCACCGCAUCCCGCGUGAAUUUGUCUACCCUUUUCAACAAGCAGUUGGUGACCAAACAGCAGUAAAGUUAGACGGUUGGCUGACUGCAAUUUCAUGAUGGAGAAUGCCACUAUGUCUUCAACAGUAUAUCUAACAGGGACUACAAAGUCAGAUCGGUGUGAAUGCCUAGUCGCCCCUAUGGCUGUCGAUGUGGAUCAAUUAUUAGAAAUAAACACUGUUGAUCAAUUACAGUGAAGAAGCGAAACAAUGAGACCUUUCAUCUCCAUGGGAAUUGAACUAACCACCGACCUUGUAAGUCUGUUCUAUGGAACACGAGCUGCGGACAUCGAGAAACUAAGUAUGUAGGUAGAGAACCCGUUGGCUUUUGUCAAACUUGCUGGUCUAGAAGGAAACGUACCUCACUUGGAACACAUCUUUGUCUACAACCUCCAGCAAUAACAUUUCAACUUGGAAAGACUCGACGGCAUGAGCGAACUGAGCGUUUGUCAUCUAAUCACGGAUAGCUGUGAUGUUGAUUUUUUAAAACCAAAACUUUGUCGUUGGUUGAUCCCUUAUUUACGUCGACUGGAUACCCUUACAGCCUGAUAGUAUCAAGGAGUUAUUACGAGGCUUACUUACGUAUCAGGCUAGCCCGAUUGUCGUCGACGCAAACUUUCCAAGCCCUGGAAUGCAUAUGCCUGCCAGAAGAACGACCAACUUGUAGUGGACAUGACAUUUUUCGAUUGCUAGCCUGAGCGACCACCUGGCUCCAAAGCAGAUUCCCUACUUACCCAUUUACACCAUCAGUUGGAUUAUCUCCAAUCUCAUUUAGAGGCAGCUAAUGUUUUAUUGUUGUCUACGGCCGAGUUGCACCAAAUUGGCAACGCCAACGCCACUCAUCUUCCACCAAAGAACGUUUGGCGUUUUCUGCUGUCUGCACUCUGCUGUUCAUUUGCAAAUUUUCUCACAGGACUUCGAAAGGUGUAAUGAGAAUUUGCAGUUCGUCGCGUCAAACUUUGAAGAAAAUUUAUUGAAAUUGUAGAUUUAAUUUAUAGAUCUAGAAAAGUGGGAAGGACAUUCCAUUACCAGCACGUGAUCGAUUCUGGUCGACGGUUCGCCAGAUCUCCGUGGAUUACAACAAGCAGGUGGUUGGUGUUUGUUGGAGCAGUCUCUGGUAAAGCAAUCUAAUGUGCUUGCUGUUCUCAGCUUUUCAUGGUGCUGACAUUUUGGCAUGGUUUCACUUGAUUUGUGUCUGCUCAGUGUUUGCGUGUAUUUUAUUGAUAAGUAUUUUUGGGUUGAUAUUCAGAGAUAACCAAAAAUGUUGAGAACAUAGAAGACCAUGUCCUUCCAAAGAAAUCUGUCAUUCUGUCCUCCAACCCACUAAAUGUGGUAUGGUAUCAUUUCAGAUUUGUUAAGUUAGCAUUCCCUUCUUGCAUCCUAAGAAAGGUUACCAUUUUAUUGUAACAUAGGCAUGUUUUAUUUUACCUAACUUCCGUUCUUGCCUCUUGGAAUGUGUUCAGGCAUGUUUAUUGUUCAUAUUGUUAGUGAUUUAUUUCUUACAUUCAUAGCAUUUUCCACUUCGGAAUGAAAGCAUGCAACCAAUUUUCAGCUCCAGACAGGUAUGCCCUCUGGGUAUGCCUUGCAUAAUGUAGCGCUUAUGUCCUCCGGCCGCCAGGUGGCGCGAGCGUCGCGUCAAAACUCAGACAUUUUCACAUUUUCCAGCCACCGACUGAAAAU
This 1929-nucleotide long non-coding RNA is filed under the name Daphnia pulicaria. RNAcentral's name for it is "uncharacterized LOC124339114, transcript variant X1". The record is from RNAcentral. Lineage: Eukaryota; Metazoa; Arthropoda; Branchiopoda; Diplostraca; Daphniidae.